UAUCUUAGUGGCGGACGGGUGAGUAACGCGUGGGUAACCUGCCUUACACUGGGGGAUAACACUUAGAAAUAGGUGCUAAUACCGCAUAACAGGAGAAGACGCAUGUCUUUUCCUUGAAAACUCCGGUGGUGUAAGAUGGACCCGCGUCUGAUUAGCUUGUUGGCGGGGUAGGGGCCCACCAAGGCGACGAUCAGUAGCCGGCCUGAGAGGGUGGACGGCCACAUUGGGACUGAGACACGGCCCAAACUCCUACGGAAGGCAGCAG
This 265-nucleotide ribosomal RNA is filed under the name uncultured bacterium. RNAcentral's name for it is "partial 16S ribosomal RNA". It matches the Rfam family "Bacterial small subunit ribosomal RNA", at positions 88 to 354 of the family's 1533-position model. The record is from RNAcentral.